RNAcentral lists this non-coding RNA (24 nucleotides) under Arabidopsis thaliana (thale cress). The record is from RNAcentral. Lineage: Eukaryota; Viridiplantae; Streptophyta; Magnoliopsida; Brassicales; Brassicaceae.
UCACCACCGUCUCGAGCUACCACU